ACAGCUAUAGCAACACAAGUUCUCAUGAUCACCAAAGUUAAGUAAUGUAUAGCCUGUUCAGUACUUAGAUGGGUGACUGCUUGGGAAUACAAGGUGCUGUAAG
This is a non-coding RNA of Acanthosepion pharaonis, 103 nucleotides long. The record is from the annotation of a GenBank genome assembly. Lineage: Eukaryota; Metazoa; Mollusca; Cephalopoda; Sepiida; Sepiidae.